Molecule: ribosomal RNA, 485 nt
Filed under: uncultured bacterium
Lineage: Bacteria
Description: partial 16S ribosomal RNA
Rfam family: Bacterial small subunit ribosomal RNA
Source: RNAcentral
GAUGAACGCUAGCGACAGGCUUAACACAUGCAAGUCGAGGGGCAGCACAGGUAGCAAUACCGGGUGGCGACCGGCGCACGGGUGAGUAACGCGUAUGCAACUUACCUAUCAGAGGGGGAUAACCCGGCGAAAGUCGGACUAAUACCGCAUGAAGCAGGGGUCCCGCAUGGGGAUAUUUGCUAAAGAUUCAUCGCUGAUAGAUAGGCAUGCGUUCCAUUAGGCAGUUGGCGGGGUAACGGCCCACCAAACCGACGAUGGAUAGGGGUUCUGAGAGGAAGGUCCCCCACAUUGGUACUGAGACACGGACCAAACUCCUACGGGAGGCAGCAGUGAGGAAUAUUGGUCAAUGGCCGAGAGGCUGAACCAGCCAAGUCGCGUGAGGGAGGAAGGUUCUAUGGAUCGUAAACCUCUUUUAUAAGGGAAGAAAGUGCGGGACGUGUCCCGUUUUGUAUGUACCUUAUGAAUAAGGAUCGGCUAACUCCGUG